ACCCGGGCGAAUUCCAAGCUUUAAUCCUUGAAGGACCACCAGUGGCGAAGGCGUCUCACCAGAACGGACCUGACGGCAAGGGACGAAAGCUAGGGGCACGAACCGGAUUAGAUACCCGGGUAGUCCUAGCCGUAAACGAUACUCGCUAGGUGUCGGCCACGGUGCGACCGUUGUCGGUGCCGUAGGAGAUCUGGAUCCCC
Molecule: ribosomal RNA, 200 nt
Filed under: Methanosaeta sp. enrichment culture clone MST-6
Lineage: Archaea; Methanobacteriati; Methanobacteriota; Methanomicrobia; Methanotrichales; Methanotrichaceae
Description: partial 16S ribosomal RNA
Rfam family: Archaeal small subunit ribosomal RNA
Source: RNAcentral